AAACCAAUAAAAUCGAAGUUGAUUAGAUCAAUUUUGGAGCCCAAUGUAAAGGCAUCCCUGAGUAGAUACAAUAAAGUAUCAUGUCAGCCGAACAGCUAUUUUGAUUUUUAGGUUCAGGAUGGGGAUUUGAUCCCCAUACCGAUGCUGUACAGAGAUCUAACUUUGAGAAAUAGCUUGGAGCCAUUAAAUCUAAAAUAAAGUCCAUGA
Molecule: long non-coding RNA, 207 nt
Filed under: Elaeis guineensis (African oil palm)
Lineage: Eukaryota; Viridiplantae; Streptophyta; Magnoliopsida; Arecales; Arecaceae
Description: long non-coding RNA (EGUI_LNC073584)
Source: RNAcentral